RNAcentral lists this ribosomal RNA (1700 nucleotides) under Musa schizocarpa. Its description in RNAcentral is "SSU rRNA". The stretch from base 504 to 1700 matches the Rfam family "Eukaryotic small subunit ribosomal RNA". The record is from RNAcentral. Lineage: Eukaryota; Viridiplantae; Streptophyta; Magnoliopsida; Zingiberales; Musaceae.
AACUGCGUUUAGACGUAAAACUGCGUUUAGAUGCAAAACUGCGUUUAGACGUAAAACUGCGUUUAGACGUAAAACUUCGUUUAGACGCAAAACUGCGUUUAGACGUAAAACUGCGUUUAGACGUAAAACUGCGUUUAGACGCAAAACUGCGUUUAGACGUAAAACUGCACUUAGACGUAAAACUGCACUUAGACGUAAAACUGCGUUUAGACACAAACAGCGCUCAAACGCAAACUGCGCUUAGACGCAAACUGCGCUCAAACGCAAACUGCGCUUAGACGCAAACUGCGCUUAAACGCAAACUGUGUUUAGACGCAAACUGCGCUUAGACGCAAACUGUGUUUAGACGCAAACUGUGUUUAGACGCAAACUGUGUUUAGACGCAAUCUGCGCUUAGACGCAAACUGCGCUUAAAUGCAAACUGCGCUUAGACGCAAUCUGCAUUUAGACGCAAACUGCAUUUAGACGCAAACUGCGUAAACUACAAACUAUGAAUCGGCAUUUACAUCGAAAUCGUUUUUAUCGGUCGAACGCGGCUUUUGUUUUUAAAUCGCUGAAAGUUUUCCGCUGCACUAAUUCACCCCCCCCCCUCUUAGUGCUCUCGAUCCUAACACACCGGUCGUCCCAUCCCUUCUGUCGGCGAUGCGUGCCUGGCCUUAACUGGCCGGGUCGUGCCUCCAGCGCUGUUACUUUGAAGAAAUUAGAGUGCUCAAAGCAAGCCCACGCUCUGGAUAUAUUAGCAUGGGAUAACAUCACAGGAUUUCGGUCCUAUUGUGUUGGCCUUCGGGAUCGGAGUGAAGAUUAAGAGGGACAGUCGGGGGCAUUCAUAUUUCACAGUCAGAGGUGAAAUUCUUGGAUUUAUGAAAGACGAACCACUGCGAAAGCAUUUGCCAAGGAUGUUUUCAUUAAUCAAGAACGAAAGUUGGGGGCUCGAAGACGAUCAGAUACCGUCCUAGUCUCAACCAUAAACGAUGCCAACCAAGGAUCGACGGAUGUUGCUCUUAGGACUCUACCGGCACCUUAUGAGAAAUCAAAGUCUUUGGGUUCCGGGGGGAGUAUGGUCGCAAGGCUGAAACUUAAAGGAAGUGACGGAAGGGCACCACCAGGAGUGGAGCCUGCGGCUUAAUUUGACUCAACACGGGGAAACUUACCAGGUCCAGACAUAGCAAGGAUUGAUAGACUGAGAGCUCUUUCUUGAUUCUAUGGGUGGUGGUGCAUGGCUGUUCUUAGUUGGUGGAGCGAUUUGUUUGGUUAAUUCUGAUAACGAACGAGACCUCAGCUUGCUAACUAGCUACGCGGAGGCAUCCCUCCGCGGCUAGCUUCUUAGAGGGACUAUGGCCGUUUAGGCCACGGAAGUUUAAGGCAAUAACAGGUCUGUGAUGCCCUUAGAUGUUUUGGGCCGCACGCACGCUACACUGAUGUAUUCAACGAGUCUAUAGCCUUGGCCGUCAUAUCAUUGCAAUUGUUGGUCUACAACGAGGAAUUCCUAGUAAGCGCGAGUCAUCAGCUCGCGUUGACUACGUCCCUGCCCUUUGUACACACCGCCUGUCGCUCCUACCGAUUGAAUGGUCUGGUGAAGUGUUCGGAUCGAGGCGACGGGGGCGGCUCGCCGCCCGCGACGUCGCGAGAAGUCCACUGAACCUUAUCAUUUAGAGGAAGGAGAAGUCGUAACAAGGUUUCCGUAGGUGAACUUGUGGAAG